This 440-nucleotide ribosomal RNA is filed under the name uncultured bacterium. RNAcentral describes it as "partial 16S ribosomal RNA". It matches the Rfam family "Bacterial small subunit ribosomal RNA", at positions 338 to 795 of the family's 1533-position model. The record is from RNAcentral.
CCUACGGGAGGCAGCAGUGGGGAAUAUUGCACAAUGGGGGGAACCCUGAUGCAGCGAUGCCGCGUGGAGGAAGAAGGUUUUCGGAUUGUAAACUCCUUUUAUCAGGGACGAUAAGGACGGUACCUGAAGAAAAAGCUCCGGCUAACUACGUGCCAGCAGCCGCGGUAAUACGUAGGGAGCGAGCGUUGUCCGGAAGUACUGGGUGUAAAGGGAGUGUAGGCGGGACGGCAAGUCAGAUGUGAAAACUGAGGGCUCAACCUUCAGACUGCAUUUGAAACUGCUGUUCUUGAGUGAAGUAGAGGUAGGCGGAAUUCCGGGUGUAGCGGUGAAAUGCGUAGAUAUUAGGAGGAACAUCGGUGGCGAAGGCGGCUUACUGGGCUUGUACUGACGCUGAGGCUCGAAAGCGUGGGGAGCGAACAGGAGUAGAUACCCGAGUAGUC